UACGAAGGGGGCUAGCGUUGCUCGGAAUCACUGGGCGUAAAGGGUGCGUAGGCGGGUCUUUAAGUCAGGGGGGAAAUCCUGGAGCUCAACUCCAGAACUGCCUUUGAUACUGAAGAUCUUGAGUUCGGGAGAGGUGAGUGGAACUGCGAGUGUAGAGGUGAAAUUCGUAGAUAUUCGCAAGAACACCAGUGGCGAAGGCGGCUCACUGGCCCGAUACUGACGCUGAGGCACGAAAGUGUGGGGAGCAAACAGG
This 253-nucleotide ribosomal RNA is filed under the name uncultured bacterium. RNAcentral's name for it is "partial 16S ribosomal RNA". It matches the Rfam family "Bacterial small subunit ribosomal RNA", at positions 524 to 776 of the family's 1533-position model. The record is from RNAcentral.